RNAcentral lists this ribosomal RNA (475 nucleotides) under uncultured organism. Its description in RNAcentral is "partial 16S ribosomal RNA". It matches the Rfam family "Bacterial small subunit ribosomal RNA", at positions 335 to 801 of the family's 1533-position model. The record is from RNAcentral.
ACUCCUGCGGGAGGCAGCAGUGGGGAAUUUUGGACAAUGGGCGAAAGCCUGAUCCAGCAAUGCCGCGUGAGUGAAGAAGGCCUUCGGGUUGUAAAGCUCUUUUGUCAGGGAAGAAACGGUGAAAGCUAAUAUCUUUUGCUAAUGACGGUACCUGAAGAAUAAGCACCGGCUAACUACGUGCCAGCAGCCGCGGUAAUACGUAGGGUGCAAGCGUUAAUCGGAACUACUGGGCGUAAAGCGUGCGCAGGCGGUUUUGUAAGUCUGAUGUGAAAUCCCCGGGCUCAACCUGGGAAUUGCAUUGGAGACUGCAAGGCUAGAAUCUGGCAGAGGGGGGUAGAAUUCCACGUGUAGCAGUGAAAUGCGUAGAUAUGUGGAGGAACACCGAUGGCGAAGGCAGCCCCCUGGGUCAAGAUUGACGCUCAUGCACGAAAGCGUGGGGAGCAAACAGGAUUGGAAACCCUUGUAGACCCAUGAU